UCUCCUGUAGCUCAGUGGUAGAGCGUCCGACCGGUGUGCGGAAGGUCAUAGGUUCGACACCUACGGUUGGGGGAA
Desmophyllum pertusum is the source of this 75-nucleotide non-coding RNA. NCBI's taxonomy places the organism in Eukaryota, Metazoa, Cnidaria, Anthozoa, Scleractinia, Caryophylliidae. The record is from the annotation of a GenBank genome assembly.